CCUACGGGUGGCAGCAGUGAGGAAUAUUGGUCAAUGGGCGCGAGCCUGAACCAGCCAAGUAGCGUGAAGGAUGACUGCCCUAUGGGUUGUAAACUUCUUUUAUAAAGGAAUAAAGUGCGGCACGUGUGCCGUUUUGCAUGUACCUUAUGAAUAAGGAUCGGCUAACUCCGUGCCAGCAGCCGCGGUAAUACGGAGGAUCCGAGCGUUAUCCGGAUUUAUUGGGUUUAAAGGGAGCGUAGGCGGGUUGUUAAGUCAGUUGUGAAAGUUUGCGGCUCAACCGUAAAAUUGCAUUUGAUACUGGCAGCCUUGAGUACAGUAGAGGUAGGCGGAAUGCGUGGUGUAGCGGUGAAAUGCUUAGAUAUCACGAAGAACUCCGAUUGCGAAGGCAGCCUACUGGAGUGCAACUGACGCUGAUGCUCGAAAGUGUGGGUAUCAAACAGGAUUAGAUACCCGGGUAGUC
RNAcentral lists this ribosomal RNA (460 nucleotides) under uncultured bacterium. Its description in RNAcentral is "partial 16S ribosomal RNA". It matches the Rfam family "Bacterial small subunit ribosomal RNA", at positions 338 to 795 of the family's 1533-position model. The record is from RNAcentral.